Molecule: long non-coding RNA, 911 nt
Filed under: Cyanistes caeruleus (blue tit)
Lineage: Eukaryota; Metazoa; Chordata; Aves; Passeriformes; Paridae
Description: lncRNA (ENSCCEG00000003493.1)
Source: RNAcentral
UUUGGGAUCCGGGGUUUGGGAUCCGGGGGUUUGGGAUCCGGGGUUUGGGAUUUGGGAUCCGGGAGUUUGGGAUCCGGGAAUUCGGGGUCCGGGGGUUUGGGAUCCGGGAGUUUGGGAUCCGGGGGUUUGGGAUCCGGGGUUUGGGAUCCGGGGUUUGGGAUUUGGGGUCCGGGAGUUUAGGAUUUGGGAUCCAGGAAUUUGGGAUUUGGGAUCAGGGAGUUUGGGAUCCCGGGAAUUUGGGAUUCCAAGAGUUUGGGAUCAAAGAGUUUGGGAUCCAGGAAUUUGGGAUCUGGGAAUUCGGGAUCCGGGAGUUUGGGGUGUGGGAAUUUGGGAUUCCAAGAGUUUGGGAUCCGGGAGUUUGGGAAUUUGGGAUCCGGGAAUCUGGGAUUUGGGAGUUUGGGAUCCCGGGAAUUUGGGAUCUGGGGAUUUGGGAAUUUGGGAUCCAAGAGUUUGGGAUCAGGGAGUUUGAGAUCCAAGAGUUUGGGAUCCGGGAAUCUGGGAUCCAGGAGUUUGGGAUCCGUGAGUUUGGGAUCCAGGAAUUUGGGAUCUGGGAAUUUGGGACCCGGGAAUCUGGGAUUGGGGAAUUUGGGAUCGGGGAAUUUGGGAUCGGGGAAUUUGGGAUCAGCACCGAGGCCGAGUCGGAUCUCGAAGUUUAUUCCAACCUAAAAAAACUCUGUACAAAACAUCCGAACCCUGGAACACAACGGGAACGCGGGAGGGGGAUCCGGGGGGAUCCGGGGGAUCCGAGGGAUCCGAGGGGAUCUGGGAAGGUUUUUAUGGGAUCCGAGGGGAUUUUAUGGGAUCCAAGGGGAUUUUUUAUGGGAUUUUAUGGGAUCCAAUGGGAUUUUAUGGGAUCUGAUGGGAUUUUUUAUGGGAUUUUAUGGGAUCCGAUGGGAUUUUAUGGGAUCUGA